This 5495-nucleotide long non-coding RNA is filed under the name Taeniopygia guttata (zebra finch). Its description in RNAcentral is "lncRNA (ENSTGUG00000019776.1)". The record is from RNAcentral. Lineage: Eukaryota; Metazoa; Chordata; Aves; Passeriformes; Estrildidae.
UUUUUUUUUUUUUUACUGUGUAGCCAAAAGCAAAUGAGGCUGGUGAGGUUUAGCUGUAGAGAAGGUGCAGCUCCCUGUGGUAGCCUUGUCUCACCAGGAGUGAUGAACCCUGAAAUCUCUCUCUGCAGCACUUCUCACUGUUCCUUUCUGCCCAGACCAUUUUGCACUGGUGAAUCUCCAGCCUGAGUAUGAAACAGAAAAUCAGAAUGACCACGAGAUUUCACCUCUCCAUGGAACUGCUGUCUUCUGUCCUCUUGGUUUUAUGCUCCUGCUGUUUCCCCUUAAGUGACUGAAGAGUCAAUAAUAGUGGAUUGGGAAAGGAGGAGGGAAUACCUUUGAUUUCUCCAAGAAGCUGGGCUGUCAGGCCAGGUUUUCCUCUGCCAGGGGUGGUUCCCUCAUUUCCACACCCUUGCUGAUGUUCCCUCACUCUGCAGAGGAAAAUUCAAGGCCAGCAUUUCCCCUGAUGCUCUGGAUCCACAGCUUUGCAAGGGUGACACGCUCCUGGAAACACAUUCCUGGUUCUCAUCCCUGCUCCUUCCCCCGUGUUGUAACUGUGUUGUAACUUAGUGAUUAAAAGUCAUUUUUAGAAGCUGGGGAGUGAAUGAUUAAAUUUCAUUAGUUUCAAAGGAGAUGCAGAACCCCAGUCUGCUUCUUGUGUAGUGUUCAGAUGGCAGUUUCUGCUUUGCUUCGUAAAAUAAAUAAAAGUUAAUAUAUGUUAUGAAGGUCUGGGUAAUCAUCACGUCCCUUCAAAGUCUCCAGAUUUGAGGUUUUUUACCAGUGUAAGCCAGACUUAGCUGCCUGCAGAGAUGCUGUACCCUCUUGCAGGGGUAAAACAAGAGAGACCAAAAAACAUGGCCACAGUCAGGGUCAGGCUGCAGGAAAGAAUAAAUGGGUUUCUAUUUUAUGUACCUAUGCUUUAGUUACAGCUAAGCUAUGACAAAUUAGGAUUUAAGUUAAUAUAUUUGCUAAAAUGCAUAGGAAACCUGGCUGUAUUUCCCACCUGUGACUGUUUGGGUGAUUUUUUUCCCUGUAGUAUGCAUGUGGUACUGCCAGGAGAAAUGAUUUAGAUAAAAUGGCAAAGGAUUCUGAAGGUUAUUUUGGGCUUUGCUGAAAGAUAAAAUGCAAUAUUGUGACAAAUUCUGCAAACAAUGUCUUUCAUCAAAGUUCUGGUUAAUGUUCUCUUGGGUACUCGUGCUCAUGAGUUGAAUGGGAGUCACAGAUUACAUAAAGAAGAGUGGAAUUUUCUCUGAGUCACUAAAAGGGAAAAAAAAAAGGUUUAAAAGAUAAUAUUUUUACAAUUAGGCUUUUAAAACUUCUUUGUGAAUUUGUUUGUGCUGUGGUUUGUUCCACCCCUGAAACCCUGAAAUUGAAAUGCUAAAUUCAAUAGAAGCAGGGAGUUAGCUUGCAAUCUGGGAAAUUAUUUCAGGGUGAAUCAGGAUGAAAAGUCAACUUAAAAGCUUUACCAGGAUUCCUCCCCAAAGAUGUUUUCACAUGAAGAUUGCUUUUAAGUGAUUUUCUUUUUAGAGGUAGAAGGAAGUAUGAUUUUAAUUGAUUACACUAACACAAGGCAUUUGAUGCUGAAAUCAAGACAGGCUGAACCAGGAUGACCCAACAGGAUACUCUGCUGUGAUAUGAUUGCAGUUAAUUUCUUAGAAUACAUUUAAAACAAGUUUUUAAUCUGGUUGUAAUGGAAUAAAACCCCAGGAUUUAGCUGGUGGGAGGUGCCUUUUGCAGUUUUGAAUUAGCUGUUCUUAUUGAACCAGUGAUUUUAAAUGCCAAGAAGUUCUUUUUGCUACUUGAUUCCAUGUGCUUUGAUCCCCCUCCAGGGCUGCAGUCAUUUGGAUAAAGCUGUGUUUGGAGAGAGAGGUUUCUGAGCAUCCAACACAUGCCAGAUUCUCUCUCAUGAAGGGACUCACAAUGGUAGAAACAGCAAAAUAAAAAUCUUAAUUCUGGUAAUUUUAUUUCAGAAUGCAAAGCGAACAGAGAGAAAUCUGUGUAGAAGACUGCCAGCUUCAUAAAUUCUUGCAAUUCUGCUCUGCAAAACUGGAAAUGAAAAAAGUGGGUUUUAUUCUUUAUCAUAUUCCAAUGUUGUUUAUAAAUCUUAUUGCUGAAUUUGCAAGUGAAUGGGGAGUUUAAAAAAAAAGGUGAAAAAUUCCUAUUUGUGCAACUUGGAAACUCAGCUUGAUUCCUGAGCAUAAAGCUGUUUUGAUCAACCUUCAUUUAUUAUUUCUGAAGUGUAGGGGAAGUUCAAUAAGCAAAACGAUUGUGCAGUUAAACACACAUUCAAAAUAAUGUUUCUAAUUUCAGUGGCUUUGUGCAUUGGUAGUCAAUAGAGACCAGAUUUCAAAUUGAUAUAGAAGUGCUUAUAAUUUCAGUUGGCUGAGAAAAGGAUCCUGACUUCUAAAUUGUCUGCAAUUGCCAUGUUGCCUGGAGGGAGACAGAGCUUUCCUUCCUGGAGAUUUAUGGUGUUCAAAAAUUCAAGACAUUUAAGUCCAUGGGAGUUUUGCAUGUUUAAUAAUAAUAUUGCUUCAAAUCAGAGUAAAUUGAGAUGCAACAAAAUAGUCCCUUGUGUUUUCCAUGCUGCAAAAAAAUCUGUUUCUGUUCAGAGAACUGCUCUGAGGGGUUUUCACUGAGGCUCCACAGAAAGACAGGAUCUGAAUCAGCAACCCAGAAAUAAGUUCUAAUUGGGAAACUGAUUGAAACAAGUUUUAUAUGGGAAAAUUCUUGAAACUAUUGUAAAUUAUCAUACUUGCAUAGCAAAUAAACCUGUUUUUCCAGAGUACUCUGGACAGAGAUAAAAUUUUACUGAUCUAGAAGCAGUUUUUGGGGUAGAGAUGGUUUCUGUUUUAUUUCUUAGAUAGCUUUUACCUUGUCCAAUUGUCCGGCCUUGAUUUCUUGUGCUUGCUCUGAUUUUCCACAUCACCAAAGGAGUUGCCUGUGAACUCCUGUUUGGUCUUUUCUGGACAUCAGGCUGUUUUGUUAUACAUAGUAAACUACUUAUAAUCUCAGGGGGAAACUAUUAUUUGGAUUUUGAUUUUGGCCUAAAAACUGAGAAUUCUGAUUUUACAUGGAUUUGGAACAUUUGUUCACAUUUGGAGUUAGCAGGAGAGUGAUUUCCUUCUUUGGGACUAAAGCAUGGUCCCAAGCAGGGAGGUUUCUGAUCUAAGUUUUUGAUCUAACAGGGAAGUUUUUGUUCUGAGAAGCUGUACAUUCUUACAUCAAAUCCUUAUAAAGUCAGAGAGCUGGAUGUUGCAAAAUGAAAAAAAAAAAAAAAAAAGAAAAGAAAAUGGCUUAUUUGUUAUUUUUUGAUUUUUCACUUCUUACGAUUCUGCUACAGUUCUUUGCUUCAGAGGACAUUUAGGUGGUAUAUUUAGGAGUAGGAAUACAGGAAUGCAGCAGAAAAAGCCUUUUGCUAGACAAACCUUUCUCACAGCAAGGAACCACAGUGUGUUAGGCUUGCCAAGAGGCAAAUGUGAUGGCAGGGACUUAAAGCUGAGCUUCCAAAUCCUGCUAAUGCAAAGGACAUGUUACAACAUCUCUGCCCUGACAGCUCUUUGUGCACUCCCUGGUAUAAACAGAGCCUGAGUGCAUUAAUCCCACCCUGCUCCUCCACUGCUUGCUGCAUCCUCUUGCUCCUGUUGUCAGAGAUAAGAGGGGACAAGGUUCUGCAUGUGAGGAUAUUUUUUUUCCUCUCUCUGUCUGUUUUUAUAAGGAGAUGGUGUUCCCUUUGAUUUUUGUACGAGCACGACAGGGACUCGGUAAAUUUAACUUAAAAACCAUUUGGCUUUGAGAGCUCAUUAAAAACUCGCACUCAGCUGAUCAAGGGAGGAUGCAGAACUGAAGAUGCAGAGUUCACCAGCCUGAGAUGCUCCCUAAGUAAAACACUAUUCUCAGAUAAAACAAAAUGUGCUCUGGAAAGCAGAGCUGCAGCACACCCAGGAGAGAGCAGCUGACAUUUCUGACUGGUCUCUUACAACAGACCCAGUUCUUGGUAAUUCCUGUGUUUUAUUUGCAACACUCAGAAGUAAAGGUAAACCUAAAAGUAAAAAGCAAAAUACAUAAUUAACACUGGAGGAGAGACUGGCUGCAGCACAGUUUAAGGCUGUCUUUAUUUUCACUGCUUGCAGUUCCCUGCUGCUUUAAACUCUGCUCAACAUUAAUCAUUCAAACUUCAGCUUUCCAGGUGAGAUGUGUGCCUUGGGCUGACUGUAAUUAUGAGGAAAAUACCUGUUUGGGUUUUCUUUUUCUGCAAAACUAAGAAUGAAUAAAACCAUAUUAUUUUGUUCUUGCUGGAAGGAAUCCUGGCAGAUAUUUCUCUGAGAAGUUACAGCAAUGUGAGUGCUGGCAGCAAAAGCUCCUUUCAUAAUGCACUUUUUUUGAAAAGCCUUUAUUAAUUAUAAGCAUUUUAAAGAGAUUAUUAGUAUAACUCUGGAGGUGAUGAAGAUGCUUGUCCAUGCUGGACUUGCCAAAGCCAAGAACUUGGCAGGAUUUCCCUUGGAAUUUCACCUGUAAUCUCCUAUACAGCUGGAUUUUGGUUAAACAGAAGAUAAAAUGAAGGGGAGACUCUCCCCUGUGCUUUCUUGAUGUGGUCCAGCACCAUGGCAGGGACUUCUGGAUGUGGAUGUUGAUGUCAAAGUGCAAAAACAAAAAUGUUGAUAAAGAGCCCAGGAAGGAGGGGAUGGAGAUGGAAAAGUGAAAUAGUGAAAGGGAAGUAGACUCUGGAAGUGAGAGGGUAAGAAGGGAUUAGGAAAGGAGGAGUGGGAGAGGUGACUCAGCUUCAGACUGGACAACAAAAAACCUGAACCUGCCAUGAUAUGGAAGAGAAGAAACGUGGAUGAUGAGGGUCAAAGGUAUACGGAAGAAAACUGAAUAAAAAAAAAUCAGAGCACUGGGCAUGGAGAUGUGAAAGAAGAGGGUAAAUGAGAGGCACCCGUGAUGAGGGCAGGAAAAGAGGAAAGGGGAUUGUGCUGAAUCCAGAACUGACCAACCAAAUGGAAGCAGGGAGCAGCUGGACGUGGAAAGGGAAUGUGGGCACUGGGCAGAGAUGCUGCCAAAAGGGAAAAGCUGUGAUGACAAAGAGGGGAGACAGGGAGAGGAUGAACUGCAGGGCAAGGCAGGCGGCUCAGUGAUUCAAAAGCCCCAGCAUGGUUACUCACACCACACGGAGAUGGGAUGUCACGUUUCAAACUCGAUUUUCCCCACCACGUCCGAACCUUAUCUGUGGCAGGCACAUUCUUCUCUCUCUCAGGAUUUUUUCAUAGAGGAGCACAGAGAGAAAUGGAAGAGAAAACAAUUUCUGUUUCUGCUCCUUGUUUUUCCCAUGUGGAAUGUGUUUGGAGAAUUGUUUACCUGGGGUGAUUGCUGGGUUGGAUUCUGGUGAGGAUUGUUUGAGCUGAUGGCAAAUCCAACCCACCUGGGGCUGGGCUCUCAGAGAGGGUCAGGAGUUGUGAGUGAGUUAUGGUAGUUAGGAAAAGUAGGUUUGUAGUUUUAGUAUC